GAUGAACGCUGGCGGCGUGCCUAAUACAUGCAAGUCGAACGAAACUUCUUUAUCACCGAGUGCUUGCACUCACCGAUAAAGAGUUGAGUGGCGAACGGGUGAGUAACACGUGGGCAACCUGCCCAAAAGAGGGGGAUAACACUUGGAAACAGGUGCUAAUACCGCAUAACCAUAGUUACCGCAUGGUAACUAUGUCAAAGGUGGCUAUACUACCGCUUUUGGAUGGGCCCGCGGCGCAUUAGCUAGUUGGUAGGGUAAAGGCUUACCAAGGCAAUGAUGCGUAGCCGAAGUGAGAGGUUGAUCGGCCACAUUGGGACUGAAACACGGCCAAAACUCCUACGGGAGGCAGCAGUAGGGAAUCUUACACAAUGGGCGAAAGCCUGAUGGAGCAACGCCGCGUGGGUGAAGAAGGUCUUCGGAUCGUAAAACCCUGUUGUUAGAGAAGAAAGUGCGUGAGAGUAACUGUUCACGUUUCGACGGUAUCUAACCAGAAAGCCACGGCUAACUACGUG
RNAcentral lists this ribosomal RNA (512 nucleotides) under uncultured bacterium. RNAcentral describes it as "partial 16S ribosomal RNA". It matches the Rfam family "Bacterial small subunit ribosomal RNA", at positions 28 to 507 of the family's 1533-position model. The record is from RNAcentral.